Molecule: unclassified non-coding RNA, 332 nt
Filed under: soil metagenome
Description: partial contains 5.8S ribosomal RNA, internal transcribed spacer 2, and large subunit ribosomal RNA
Rfam family: 5.8S ribosomal RNA (bases 1-120)
Source: RNAcentral
GAUGAAGAACGUAGCGAAAUGCGAUAAGUAGUGUGAAUUGCAGAAUUCAGUGAAUCAUCGAAUCUUUGAACGCACAUUGCGCCCUUCGGUAUUCCUUAGGGCAUGCCUGUUCGAGCGUCAUUUAAACCUUCAAGCUCAGCUUGGUGUUGGGUGACUGUCCGCUUCACCGCGGACUCGCCUCAAAAUUAUUGGCGGCCGGUACAUUGGCUUCGAGCGCAGCAGAAACGCGAACUCGGGCCCGUCGUAUUGGCUCCCAGAAGCUAUCUUCACAAUUUUGACCUCGGAUCAGGUAGGGAUACCCGCUGAACUUAAGCAUAUCAAUAAGCGGAGGA